GUGCCAGCAGCCGCGGUAAUACGAAGGGGGCUAGCGUUGCUCGGAAUUACUGGGCGUAAAGGGCGCGUAGGCGGAUCGUUAAGUCAGAGGUGAAAUCCCAGGGCUCAACCCUGGAACUGCCUUUGAUACUGGCGAUCUUGAGUAUGAGAGAGGUAUGUGGAACUCCGAGUGUAGAGGUGAAAUUCGUAGAUAUUCGGAAGAACACCAGUGGCGAAGGCGACAUACUGGCUCAUUACUGACGCUGAGGCGCGAAAGCGUGGGGAGCAAACAAGGAUUAGAUACCCUGGUAGUCC
This 293-nucleotide ribosomal RNA is filed under the name uncultured microorganism. RNAcentral describes it as "partial 16S ribosomal RNA". It matches the Rfam family "Bacterial small subunit ribosomal RNA", at positions 505 to 796 of the family's 1533-position model. The record is from RNAcentral.